AACCAGCACCUCAAGUGGUCAGGAUGAUUAUUGGGCCUAAAGCAUCCGUAGCCGGCUCUGUAAGUUUUCGGUUAAAUCUGUACGCUUAACGUACAGGCUGCCGGGAAUACUGCAGAGCUAGGUAGUGGGAGAGGUAGACGGUACUCGGUAGGAAGGGGUAAAAUCCUUUGAUCUAUUGAUGACCACCUGUGGCGAAGGCGGUCUACCAGAACACGUACGACGGUGAGGGAUGAAAGCUGGGGGAGCAAACCGGAUUAGAUACCCGGGUAGUCCCAGCUGUAAACUAUGCAAACUCAGUGAUGCAUUGGCUUGUGGCCAAUGCAGUGCUGCAGGGAAGCCGUUAAGUUUGCCGCCUGGGAAGUACGUACGCAAGUAUGAAACUUAAAGGAAUUGGCGGGGGAGCACCACAAGGGGUGAAGCCUGCGGUUCAAUUGGAGUCAACGCCAGAAAUCUUACCCGGAGAGACAGCAGAAUGAAGGUCAAGCUGAAGACUUUACCAGACAAGCUGAGAGGUGGUGCAUGGCCGUCGCCAGCUCGUGCCGUGAGAUGUCCUGUUAAGUCAGGUAACGAGCGAGAUCCCUGCCUCUAGUUGCCACCAUUACUCUCAGGAGUAGUGGGGCGAAUUAGCGGGACCGCCGCAGUUAAUGCGGAGGAAGGAAGGGGCCACGGCAGGUCAGUAUGCCCCGAAACUCUGGGGCCACACGCGGGCUGCAAUGGUAACGACAAUGGGUUUCGAAUUCGAAAGGAUGAGGUAAUCCUCAGACGUUACCACAGUUAUGACUGAGGGCUGCAACUCGCCCUCACGAAUAUGGAAUCCCUAGUAACUGCGUGUCACUAUCGCGCGGUGAAUACGUCCCUGCUCCU
Molecule: ribosomal RNA, 864 nt
Filed under: uncultured archaeon
Lineage: Archaea
Description: SSU rRNA
Rfam family: Archaeal small subunit ribosomal RNA
Source: RNAcentral